This 464-nucleotide ribosomal RNA is filed under the name uncultured bacterium. RNAcentral's name for it is "partial 16S ribosomal RNA". It matches the Rfam family "Bacterial small subunit ribosomal RNA", at positions 28 to 507 of the family's 1533-position model. The record is from RNAcentral.
GACGAACGCUGGCGGCGUGCUUAACACAUGCAAGUCGAACGGAAAGGCCCUGCUUGCAGGGUACUCGAGUGGCGAACGGGUGAGUAACACGUGGGUGAUCUGCCCUGCACUUCGGGAUAAGCCUGUGAAACUGGGUCUAAUACCGGAUAGGAGCCAUUUUUAGUGUGAUGGUUGGAAAGUUUUUUCGGUGUAGGAUGAGCUCGCGGCCUAUCAGCUUGUUGGUGGGGUAAUGGCCUACCAAGGCGGCGACGGGUAGCCGGCCUGAGAGGGUGGACGGCCACAUUGGGACUGAGAUACGGCCCAGACUCCUACGGGAGGCAGCAGUGGGGAAUAUUGCACAAUGGGCGCAAGCCUGAUGCAGCGACGCCGCGUGGGGGAUGACGGCCUUCGGGUUGUAAACUACUUUCGCUAGGGACGAAGCUUUUGUGACGGUACCUAGAUAAGAAGCACCGGCUAACUACGUG